GCUUCAGUGGCGCAAUUGGCGGCGCAUCUGAUUUGUAAUCAGGCGGUUGUGAGUUCGAGUCUCACCUGGAGCU
Molecule: transfer RNA, 73 nt
Filed under: Lachnospiraceae bacterium
Lineage: Bacteria; Bacillati; Bacillota; Clostridia; Lachnospirales; Lachnospiraceae
Description: tRNA-Thr
Rfam family: tRNA
About the family: Transfer RNA (tRNA) molecules are approximately 80 nucleotides in length. Their secondary structure includes four short double-helical elements and three loops (D, anti-codon, and T loops). Further hydrogen bonds mediate the characteristic L-shaped molecular structure. tRNAs have two regions of fundamental functional importance: the anti-codon, which is responsible for specific mRNA codon recognition, and the 3' end, to which the tRNAs corresponding amino acid is attached (by aminoacyl-tRNA synthetases). tRNAs cope with the degeneracy of the genetic code in two manners: having more than one tRNA (with a specific anti-codon) for a particular amino acid; and 'wobble' base-pairing, i.e. permitting non-standard base-pairing at the 3rd anti-codon position.
Source: RNAcentral